GUGAAAGUGUUGAAAGGGAAGCGCUUGCAGCCAGACGUGCCCGUAGUUGCUCAUCGGGGGUUCUCCCCCGUGUACUCUUCUAUGGGCAGGCCAGCAUCAGUCCGGGCGGUUGGAGAAAGACCUGUGUCAUGUAGCUGUUUUCGGGCAGUGUUAUAGGGCAGGUGGAAUGCAACCAGCCUGGACUGAGGUCCGCGCAUCUGCUAGGAUGCUGGCGUAAUGGCUGUAAGCGGCCCGUCUUGAAACACGGACCAAGGAGUCUAACAUCUAUGCGAGUGUUUGGGUGUCAAGCCCGAGCGCGUAAUGAAAGUGAACGGAGGUGGGAACCUUUUAGGUGCACCAUCGACCGAUCCUGAUGUCUUCGGAUGGAUUUGAGUAAGAGCAUAGCUGUUGGGACCCGAAAGAUGGUGAACUAUGCCUGAAUAGGGUGAAGCCAGAGGAAACUCUGGUGGAGGCUCGCAGCGGUUCUGACGUGCAAAUCGAUCGUCAAAUUUGGGCAUAGGGGCGAAAGACUAAUCGAACUAUCUAGUAGCUGGUUCCUGCCGAAGUUUCCCUCAGGAUAGCAGUAACGUUUUCAGUUUUAUGAGGUAAAGCGAAUGAUUAGAGGCCUGGGGGUUGAAACAACCUUCACCUAUUCUCAAACUUUAAAUAUGUAAGAAGUCCUUGUUUCUUAAUUGAACGUGGACAUUUGAAUGUAUCGUUACUAGUGGGCCAUUUUUGGUAAGCAGAACUGGCGAUGCGGGAUGAACCGAACGCGGGGUUAAGGUGCCAGAAUGCACGCUCAUCAGACACCCACAA
RNAcentral lists this ribosomal RNA (795 nucleotides) under uncultured Ascomycota. RNAcentral describes it as "LSU rRNA". It matches the Rfam family "Eukaryotic large subunit ribosomal RNA", at positions 399 to 1218 of the family's 3401-position model. The record is from RNAcentral. Lineage: Eukaryota; Fungi; Ascomycota.